UAUCUUUCACUUGAAGAAUGA
Molecule: non-coding RNA, 21 nt
Filed under: Caenorhabditis elegans
Lineage: Eukaryota; Metazoa; Nematoda; Chromadorea; Rhabditida; Rhabditidae
Source: RNAcentral